This 384-nucleotide ribosomal RNA is filed under the name uncultured soil bacterium. Its description in RNAcentral is "bacterial SSU rRNA". It matches the Rfam family "Bacterial small subunit ribosomal RNA", at positions 26 to 402 of the family's 1533-position model. The record is from RNAcentral.
AGAUUGAACGCUGGCGGCAUGCCUUACACAUGCAAGUCGAACGGCAGCACGGGAGCAAUCCUGGUGGCGAGUGGCGAACGGGUGAGUAACACAUCGGAACGUGCCCAAUCGUGGGGGAUAACUACGCGAAAGCGUAGCUAAUACCGCAUAUGAUCUACGGAUGAAAGCAGGGGAUCGCAAGACCUUGCGCGAAUGGAGCGGCCGAUGGCAGAUUAGGUAGUUGGUGAGGUAAAGGCCCACCAAGCCUUCGAUCUGUAGCUGGUCUGAGAGGACGACCAGCCACACUGGGACUGAGACCACGGCCCAAGACCUCCGUACGGGAGGCAGCGAGGUGGGUAAUUUUGGACAAGUGGGCGCAAGCCUGACUCCAGCCAGUCGCCGCGU